This 740-nucleotide ribosomal RNA is filed under the name Corynebacterium striatum. RNAcentral's name for it is "bacterial SSU rRNA". It matches the Rfam family "Bacterial small subunit ribosomal RNA", at positions 36 to 787 of the family's 1533-position model. The record is from RNAcentral. Lineage: Bacteria; Bacillati; Actinomycetota; Actinomycetes; Mycobacteriales; Corynebacteriaceae.
CUGGCGGCGUGCUUAACACAUGCAAGUCGAACGGAAAGGCCUGCAGCUUGCUGCGGGUACUCGAGUGGCGAACGGGUGAGUAACACGUGGGUGAUCUGCCUUGCACUUCGGGAUAAGCUUGGGAAACUGGGUCUAAUACCGGAUAGGACAGCUGUUUAGUGUCAGUUGUGGAAAGUUUUUUCGGUGCAAGAUGAGCUCGCGGCCUAUCAGCUUGUUGGUGGGGUAAUGGCCUACCAAGGCGUCGACGGGUAGCCGGCCUGAGAGGGUGUACGGCCACAUUGGGACUGAGAUACGGCCCAGACUCCUACGGGAGGCAGCAGUGGGGAAUAUUGCACAAUGGGCGGAAGCCUGAUGCAGCGACGCCGCGUGGGGGAUGAAGGCCUUCGGGUUGUAAACUCCUUUCGACAGGGACGAAGCUUUUGUGACGGUACCUGUAUAAGAAGCACCGGCUAACUACGUGCCAGCAGCCGCGGUAAUACGUAGGGUGCGAGCGUUGUCCGGAAUUACUGGGCGUAAAGAGCUCGUAGGUGGUUUGUCGCGUCGUCUGUGAAAUUCCGGGGCUUAACUCCGGGCGUGCAGGCGAUACGGGCUGACUUGAGUGCUGUAGGGGAGACUGGAAUUCCUGGUGUAGCGGUGAAAUGCGCAGAUAUCAGGAGGAACACCGAUGGCGAAGGCAGGUCUCUGGGCAGUAACUGACGCUGAGGAGCGAAAGCAUGGGUAGCGAACAGGAUUAGAUACCC